UGGGGAAUAUUGCACAAUGGAGGGAACUCUGAUGCAGCGACGCCGCGUGAACGAAGAAGGCUUUCGAGUCGUAAAGUUCUUUUAUAUGGGAAGAUAAUGACGGUACCAUAAGAAAAAGUCCCGGCUAACUACGUGCCAGCAGCCGCGGUAAUACGUAGGGGCUAGCGUUGUCCGGAAUCACUGGGCGUAAAGGGUUCGCAGGCGGAAAUGCAAGUCAGGUGUAAAAGGCAGUAGCUUAACUACUGUAAGCAUUUGAAACUGCAUAUCUUGAGAAGAGUAGAGGUAAGUGGAAUUUUUAGUGUAGCGGUGAAAUGCGUAGAUAUUAAAAAGAAUACCGGUGGCGAAGGCGACUUACUGGGCUCAUUCUGACGCUGAGGAACGAAAGCGUGGGUAGCAAACAGG
RNAcentral lists this ribosomal RNA (402 nucleotides) under Verrucomicrobiota bacterium. Its description in RNAcentral is "Verrucomicrobia bacterium partial 16S ribosomal RNA". It matches the Rfam family "Bacterial small subunit ribosomal RNA", at positions 355 to 776 of the family's 1533-position model. Lineage: Bacteria; Pseudomonadati; Verrucomicrobiota. The record is from RNAcentral.